UAGCCCUACGGGGGGCAGCAGUGGGGGAUAUUGGACAAUGGGGGAAACCCUGAUCCAGCGACGCCGCGUGAGUGAAGAAGUAUGUCGGUAUGUAAAGCUCUAUCAGCAGGGAAGAAAGAAAUGACGGUACCUGAGUAAGAAGCCCCGGCUAACUACGUGCCAGCAGCCGCGGUAAUACGUAGGGGGCAAGCGUUAUCCGGAUUUACUGGGUGUAAAGGGAGCGUAGACGGCAGCGCAAGUCUGGAGUGAAAUGCCGGGGCUCAACCCCGGAACUGCUUUGGAAACUGUGCAGCUAGAGUGCGGGG
RNAcentral lists this ribosomal RNA (305 nucleotides) under uncultured bacterium. RNAcentral's name for it is "bacterial SSU rRNA". It matches the Rfam family "Bacterial small subunit ribosomal RNA", at positions 334 to 653 of the family's 1533-position model. The record is from RNAcentral.